Molecule: transfer RNA, 75 nt
Filed under: Anaerobacillus arseniciselenatis
Lineage: Bacteria; Bacillati; Bacillota; Bacilli; Caryophanales; Bacillaceae
Also listed under: 2 other names
Description: tRNA-Arg
Rfam family: tRNA
About the family: Transfer RNA (tRNA) molecules are approximately 80 nucleotides in length.
Source: RNAcentral
GCGCCUAUAGUGAAAUGGAUAUCACACGAGAUUUCGGCUCUCGGAUUCUGGGUUCGAAUCCUGGUGGGCGCGCCA